This 402-nucleotide ribosomal RNA is filed under the name uncultured cyanobacterium. RNAcentral's name for it is "bacterial SSU rRNA". It matches the Rfam family "Bacterial small subunit ribosomal RNA", at positions 490 to 889 of the family's 1533-position model. The record is from RNAcentral. Lineage: Bacteria; Bacillati; Cyanobacteriota.
GCAUCGGCUAACUCCGUGCCAGCAGCCGCGGUAAUACGGAGGAUGCAAGCGUUAUCCGGAAUCAUUGGGCGUAAAGAGUCUGUAGGUGGCACUUCAAGUCUGCUGUCAAAGACCGAAGCUUAACUUCGGGAAGGCGGUGGAAACUGAAGAGCUAGAGUAAAGCAGGGGUAGAGGGAAUUCCCAGUGUAGCGGUGAAAUGCGUAGAGAUUGGGAAGAACACCAGUGGCGAAGGCGCUCUACUGGGCUAAAACUGACACUGAGAGACGAAAGCUAGGGUAGCGAAAGGGAUUAGAUACCCCUGUAGUCCUAGCGGUAAACGAUGGAUACUAGGCGUAGAGCCGUUAUAAAUGGGGCUGUGCCGAAGCAAACGCGUUAAGUAUYCCGCCUGGGGAGUACGCACGC